GCCCUGCUGGUGUCUGAGGAGAGCUUCAAACCCCGGGAGGACGCGAGGAGG
Molecule: transfer RNA, 51 nt
Filed under: Guillardia theta
Lineage: Eukaryota; Cryptophyceae; Pyrenomonadales; Geminigeraceae
Description: partial Selenocysteine transfer RNA
Source: RNAcentral